RNAcentral lists this long non-coding RNA (1403 nucleotides) under Fukomys damarensis (Damara mole-rat). RNAcentral's name for it is "lncRNA (ENSFDAG00000023497.1)". The record is from RNAcentral. Lineage: Eukaryota; Metazoa; Chordata; Mammalia; Rodentia; Bathyergidae.
AGACAAUAAAGAAAGGAAACCCCUGAAGGAGAUUUCCCAGAUGUCCUUAUGGAAGGGGCCUCUCCCUCCAAACAACAGCCUCCACACCCACCUUGCGGUCCUCAGUGCCAGAAGUCGCCUCAAACAAGACGUCUCCAUACCCGUAGUGGUUAUACACAAUGUACGACAGUGCACUUGCGCCAAUCACCACAAGGUUUCAUCAUUGCACUGCAAGCAUUCAGGAAGAAAAUAAAAUAAACAAAUGAAAAAGCUUUGGUCACAGAUAAUGGCAACUAUUGUCAGGGGGGAAAAAAACUCUUGGGUAAUCUGUCAAGAGAGUAAUAUUUAGCAGUGUGUGUUAACUAAAUGUGUCACCUAUCUCUGCCAAAUAUAGAAACGUGCUAUCAAUACUUACAUUCCUGAGUUUAUGCAUUUUAAGUGUCAAACCAUGCAGCGGGUGAAGGGAGGGCAGGAGGUGGGGAAAAAAUAAGAACCAAGGUAUAUCAUGUAAAGAAAGGUACAAGAUCCCAAAAAUGAAUGUAAAUGCACUGUAUACCUGAAAUGUACCAAUAAAGAAAAAAGAAAAAAAUAAAAAUAAUAAAGUGUCAAACCAACACAUUAUUUCUGGGACUAAUUUCAACUCUCAAUGAAAAACAUAUCUUAUGCUUUAAAGAACAAUUACUGGCCAUCUACCAUAGAAUAUACAAGUCCAUUUCAUUUAUUGCUUCAGUAAACAAAAAUUAUAUCUUUCCAGAAAACUGCAGGAAUGUGAUUGCAAACAGGAUUUUAAAUGUCAAGUGGAUAGUGUUUCAAAGAGCUACCUGAAAAUGAUCUCAUUUACCCACUAAGUCAAAGAACGUUCCCCAUAUGUUCUUACACCAAAAAUCUUUUUUACAACAAAACUUUACACACAAUUAUACAUAGACCAUUUCUUGUAGACUGCUUCACUGUUGGAAACACCGAUUAUAAUGUAAGGUGAUAUAGUAAACAAAAAUCCCUGAGCAUGUGAUACUGUCUCUGCACUAGUCUCCAAGAACCACAUAAUCAAAGCUCUGGCACUUUUCUGUCAGAUGCCAUUUCUCCCCAUUGUACAUACUUUCUCUGCACCUCUCCCAGAAUUCUCACACCUGCAGUAUUCUCUGAGCUGGAAGAAUCAGCAUCAAACAAUUUUAGGAGUUUCUGUAGAUGUGUCUUAAGUGUAUCAACCAUGUGGCGUUCGUAAUUGUGAAAAUGCCCUCUCCUUAUCAUUUUUUUAUCUUUAUUUCUUAUUCUCAUCAAUUUUAUCAUGCAUGACUGUGGCCAUGUAUAUACAGACAUACACAACCACAGUAUGGCUAGUGAAAAGUUUGCAUACCACUAGUUUGAUCAACAGAUGAUUUUAAAUUUUGGAGAAGGCAUAACAGCCAGUAAGUUACAUCUAAGCA